ACAGUGAAAGGUCAUUUCGUCACUUCCUGUGGAAAUUUCCAGUCUAUAUACCCCAUUGACAAGUCGGUAAAGAUUGUUGACCACGUGGGGUGAGCGGGAAAAUGUUCGUUUCACAUGGACGCAAAAAUUUAAAAUUAAACUUUGUUUAAUUCUGCUAGAAAUAUAGCUUGUCAUUCUUAUUAGGUUUUGCCAUUUUAUUAAAACUUUGUUUGAAUGUAAAUUGUAGAAAUAAAAGCUGUGUAGAAGUAAACAAACAAAGAAACGACUAUGAGGUACAAAGGUCGUGCUCAUGUUGGACAACAAUGAUUUUGGAGCUGGCAAGCCAUGAGAGUAUGCAUGAGAUGGGCAGUGAUGAUACUAUUUGGAGGAAUGCUAUUUACAUGGUUUUGUGUAACCCGAAAGUGUUCGUGGGGGUGAGGGCCCAUUAUAAUGUGUCACAGGCCUGGUGUUUAUGGACAUGUCCAAUUAUUAAUUUUCAGUGUAUGAUUUGUUUUUGUAAUAAACUGUGACGUUGGGUUGUUGCACCACACAGUAUGCCAAU
Long non-coding RNA from Gigantopelta aegis, 541 nucleotides. RefSeq lists it as uncharacterized. Lineage: Eukaryota; Metazoa; Mollusca; Gastropoda; Neomphalida; Peltospiridae. The record is from RefSeq and is a predicted model, not a curated record. The transcript is spliced from 2 exons.